Long non-coding RNA from Limulus polyphemus (Atlantic horseshoe crab), 368 nucleotides. RefSeq lists it as uncharacterized. Lineage: Eukaryota; Metazoa; Arthropoda; Merostomata; Xiphosura; Limulidae. The record is from RefSeq and is a predicted model, not a curated record. The transcript is spliced from 3 exons.
GACAUCCGUUUUUGAGAAUAGUCUUGGUAUUUCAACAUUUCACCAAUGUGUUUAUCUACAGUCAUCAGAGUUCCCUGCAAAAACAAAAGUGUCUACUGACUGACAGACCAUCAAAACACUACUGUAUAGUGGUGUAAGUGGUUAAAACAGGUGACUCUUCCAGGUGGCCUUUGCCUACUUUUAGGGAAAUUAUGACAGACGGGAUUCAAGAUAACCUUGCUCCACCUGGGAUACAAAAUGUACAACUUAAACAGUUGUAGAGAUCAGGAAGAUUAAUCAGACAAGACUCAAAGUUGACUUCCAGCUUUAUCUUUGAUAUGUGUAAAAUAAAGACUUUACCUCGAAGGAAAGUGUUAUUUGCUUUUCAA